CGCGGGAUGGAGCAGUCUGGUAGCUCGUCGGGCUCAUAACCCGAAGGUCGUUGGUUCAAAUCCGGCUCCCGCA
Molecule: transfer RNA, 73 nt
Filed under: Moritella sp.
Lineage: Bacteria; Pseudomonadati; Pseudomonadota; Gammaproteobacteria; Alteromonadales; Moritellaceae
Also listed under: 2 other names
Description: tRNA-Met
Rfam family: tRNA
About the family: Transfer RNA (tRNA) molecules are approximately 80 nucleotides in length. Their secondary structure includes four short double-helical elements and three loops (D, anti-codon, and T loops).
Source: RNAcentral